Octopus bimaculoides (California two-spot octopus) is the source of this 73-nucleotide non-coding RNA. The record is from Rfam. NCBI's taxonomy places the organism in Eukaryota, Metazoa, Mollusca, Cephalopoda, Octopoda, Octopodidae.
GCCUGCAUAGCUCAGUUGGUAGAGCAUCAGACUUUUAAUCUGAGGGUCGCGGGUUCGAGUCCCUCUGCGGGUG